RNAcentral lists this ribosomal RNA (292 nucleotides) under uncultured bacterium. RNAcentral's name for it is "partial 16S ribosomal RNA". The record is from RNAcentral.
GGACUACAGGGGUAUCUAAUCCUGUUUGCUCCCCACGCUUUCGCACAUCAGCGUCAGUACCGGGCCAGUGAGCCGCCUUCGCCACUGGUGUUCUUCCUAAUAUCUACGAAUUUCACCUCUACACUAGGAGUUCCACUCACCUCUCCCGGACUCAAGAUUGCCAGUAUCAAAGGCAGUUCCGAGGUUGAGCCUCGGCAUUUCACCCCUGACUUAACAAUCCGCCUACGCGCGCUUUACGCCCAGUGAUUCCGAACAACGCUAGCCCCCUUCGUAUUACCGCGGCUGCUGGCAC